RNAcentral lists this long non-coding RNA (1229 nucleotides) under Homo sapiens (human). RNAcentral describes it as "non-protein coding KLF3-AS1:11". Lineage: Eukaryota; Metazoa; Chordata; Mammalia; Primates; Hominidae. The record is from RNAcentral.
AUCUUAACCCUUAAACUCUGACCACAUGCCCUAGUGAGGGAGGCAAGCAUACCCAGAGAGGUCUUAAGAUGCCUGAGGUGCCAGGAGAGCAUGGAGAUGCCUGGGAAAAAGUAUCAUAUACAUUUGGAAACUUGAAAAUUGACAUAUGAUAAUGGACUUUAGGAAAUGAAUGUGUAGAGGAAGAAGUCAGGUGAUGCUGGUGUCCUGGGGACCACUCCACGGAAGGAGAAGACACUGGGAAUAGAAGACCUUUGAAAAUCGUGAUGGGCUUAAAGAUCCCAGCGCAGGUCCCACCACUUAUUCGCUCUCACCUGGCAUCUCAAUCUCUGCAUCUGUAAAAAUGAAGAAAAUAAUCCAUCUCCCUGGAUGACUUCAUGAGAUUUUUUGUAGUCAUCAGUGAGGUACUGUACAUAGACGUGCUGUAAGGACGAAAAGUUCUUCACAAUAGGAUGCAUGGGAAAGCAAGCAGGGAGCAGUGGAGGAGGCUGAACCCAGAACGUGGGCUGAGGAUGCUGGGAGGGAACAGGGUUGGGGGCUGAAUCCUAACAGGAGGAAGCUACUGAGCUGCUUCUGUAAGUUGGGCCUGGAUGGAAACCCUGGAAGCAGUAACUCCAAGAAAGAUUCAAAAGUGGGACAAGAAGAGCAAGAACCAGGAAUGGAAAAACUCCAAGGAACAUGAGUGAAGAGCCUCGAAAAAACAGGACACUCACAGUUCAGGAAACUACCAAGGGUCCAAGGAGAGGCCUUGCUUGGCCGUGGUGUGGUCCUGCAACUCCAGGGCAGACCUAGACUCAUGGGAAAGUCCCUGCUUUGUGAUGAGGCUGAAAGAGGAUGAGUGGGGAGUGGCCGGAAGAAGAAAGGUGACUCCCAGGGUCUGGGCCAAGGAAGGGUUUUGGAAAGGAAAGGGGACUCACAACAGGGCAUGCUUGGGAGGUAUUAAGGCUUUCAACCCUCGCCAAGGCGAAUAACAUGAGACUGUAAGUUAGCUAUAUAUAGUGUGUAACCUGAAAAUGCCUCCCCUUGCACCACUUGCACUGUUGAACUUAUAGUGAGUCCCUCUGUGGAGGGUGGAGUGGGGGAAGAGGUUCUGCUGGGGACAGACAAAGGUAGGGAAGCACUCACUGGCUUUGAAGAACUUCCUUGCUUUUUAUGCCUAGGGUGUAACCAGAGACCAGUGUCAACAAGGAAUCUGGCUUGGAACGCUUUUGUCUGCAGCCCUCUUUGGAGCG